UGGUAUAUGAUAUUGAGAAAGGGAAAACAACAAGAUUCUUUAUUGAGGCCUUUAAAAAAUAUCUUGACGACUUUGAAUUUAAAGAUUUUUGCGAGGCUGAAGACAGAGAAAAGCUUAUUCUUUCUAUCAUUGCAGUUGUACGACACACUUCAAUACGCGUUACAGAAACCUUGAGUCAAGUCAAAGAACAAUGUGAUAAAAAAAAUAUCAAAGAUCUUAAAAGAGUGUUCGUCAUUUACUUUUACGUCAAUAAAUCAGAUGAAGGUUGUGAGCAUACGAUUACACAGAUAUCUGAGUCUGGACAGUUCGACUUUGCAACAAUAGUACUGAUUAAUUUCAGUGGCGCUUCUCUGUCUACCAAAUAUUUUGGUUCAGUUCCGGGUAAAUACUUUCUUAAAACGGGUAAUAAAGAAUCGCUACAAAAACUAGAAGAGUGUAUACUAUCGAGAAAGGUAAGUUCAAUACUUCAAUUCACACAUACAUGCAUGUUAACUUUCAUAUGUAUAUAACUUGAGAUAACAGCAACUUUUGACAUUUAUAGUAUUGAAUUACUUAAUUCAUUUUCAUAGGCCUUUGUAGCUUAACAUUGUUUAAUGUUUAUUUCUUCAAGAAAUUGUGUGUCAACGUCUACAGUGACUUGGAUUUCCGACGGGUCAAAGCUUUUAUUGCGGAAUUAGAUCAGUUCAUUUUAAGCUCUAUUGAAUUACAAGCCGUGAAGCCUUUAACAGAACCGGUCGAUGUAACAUCACCCACCUUGAUUUGUACAACAGGGGAUGUGGAUGAGUGUCAGAAAAAACUCAAAGAGAAAGACUUGAAGGACGUUUUCUUUUGCCACAUAAUUGAUAUUGCAAAUGUAUCAUCGAAAAUUGGUAAACAUGACAGCGCUGAUGGCAGGGAUGAAGAGGAACGAAAUCCCAGUUCUGCGUCAUCUGCUGGUGCCGGAAACAAUACAACACAAAAUGCCAAAAAUAUGCCUCGGAAAAUGUCUGAGAUACUUAAUUACAAUGGAAAGUUUAAAUUUGAUUUAGAUUUUAUAAAGCAAUUUGAAACCUUUGUUCGCACAUGUUCUGAAGAAAU
This is a long non-coding RNA of Ruditapes philippinarum (Manila clam), 1077 nucleotides long. RefSeq lists it as uncharacterized. The transcript is spliced from 3 exons. NCBI's taxonomy places the organism in Eukaryota, Metazoa, Mollusca, Bivalvia, Venerida, Veneridae. The record is from RefSeq and is a predicted model, not a curated record.